AUUGAACGCUGGCGGCAUGCUUUACACAUGCAGGUCGAACGGCAGCGCGGGCUUCGGCCUGGCGGCGAGUGGCGAACGGGUGAGUAAUACAUCGGAACGUGCCCAGUAGUGGGGGAUAGCUCGGCGAAAGCCGGAUUAAUACCGCAUACGACUUGAGGGUGAAAGCGGGGGAUCUUCGGACCUCGCGCUUUUGGAGCGGCCGAUGGCAGAUUAGCUAGUUGGUGGGGGAAAGGCCUACCAAGGCGACGAUCUGUAGCUGGUCUGAGAGGACGACCAGCCACACUGGGACUGAGACACGGCCCAGACUCCUACGGGAGGCAGCAGUGGAGAAUUUUGGACAAUGGGCGAAAGCCUGAUCCAGCAAUGCCGCGUGUGUGAUGAAGGCCUUCGGGUUGUAAAGCACUUUUGGCGGGAACGAAAAGGACUGUGCCAAUACCACGGUUCGAUGACGGUACCCGCAGAAUAAGCACCGGCUAACUACGUG
Molecule: ribosomal RNA, 484 nt
Filed under: uncultured bacterium
Lineage: Bacteria
Description: partial 16S ribosomal RNA
Rfam family: Bacterial small subunit ribosomal RNA
Source: RNAcentral